Molecule: ribosomal RNA, 993 nt
Filed under: Triticum aestivum (bread wheat)
Lineage: Eukaryota; Viridiplantae; Streptophyta; Magnoliopsida; Poales; Poaceae
Description: partial small subunit ribosomal RNA
Source: RNAcentral
AUGGCGUCGAGUUCUGUAGGUGGGACACAAAACCGAAGUAUCUGGGAUAUCAUUUGGAAGGCUGCUGUUCCACCUAAAGUCAGAAUUCAUGGCUGGAGAGUUGCAACAAACUCUUUAGCUACAAAGAAGAACAAGUUCAGAAGGACCAUUGAGGUGGAUUCCACCUGUACUAUCUGUGGGAAUAGUGAAGAGGAUGAAUUUCACGCGGUCAUUGAAUGUACUAAGAGCAGAGCCCUGAGAGGUGCAAUGUGUGAUGAAUGGGAUCUCCCUCCGGAAUGCUCAUUCCGACGCACUGGGCCUGAUUGGCUACAGUUACUUCUUAGUACGGAAACGGAGGAUAUACGAGCGAAAAUCUCGAUGCUACUCUGGAGAUGCUGGCACUUACGGGAGGAUAAUGUACAUGGGAACGGUAAAGAAUCUAUUAGCCACUCUGUUGCCUUCCUACUGAAGUAUGAUGAGGAGCUGAAAAAUGUUUCUAUGAGGCCUCCCUCUGUUAAUGGAAAAGAAACUAAGAUGCUGGCCAGUACUACAGUCAAUAAGCCGGCCAACUGCAUCAGGAAGUGGCGCCCGCCUCCGCAAGGAAUAGUCAAGCUUAAUACUGACGCUGCCUUCUCGGCAGAUAGUGGGAAUUGCUGGGCGGGAGGUGUUGCCAGGGAUUAUAGAGGAAAGGUCCUCCUGUCGGUAGGCAAUCAAAUGCCUAGGUCAAGCAACGUCGAGGAAGCGGAAGCCCGUGCGGCUCUGUUUGGCCUGCAUGCUCUGGCCGCUGUGUUCAGAGGCCCGGUGGAGUUAGAAAUGGACUGCAAGAAUGUGAUUAAGCUAGUCCGCAGGGGCGACCACUUCGUGGUGCACGGCAACAUGCACGCCGUCGUCGUGGAGUUCAAGGCCGGCGACACGGACCCUGACGUGUCCGUCAUCAUGGCGGCCGGUGUGCCACGACGCCAACCCGGUCAAGCAGGACCCGGUCAAGCAGGAGGUCGGGGUAAGGCUUGUUAA